UCAAUGAUUGUUAUAAUUUGUAAUGAAAUACAAAAGUGUAGUGUAACCAAUGGAUUUGAGCGGUUAUGUAUUUAAAGACGUAUAGGUAUGACGAAACUAUUUACAUUGAGAAAUAUUUCAUGCUUUGAAAUGUAAGUUUCUUAUAAGGGAAACCUAGAACUAGAAAUAUUGUAUAACCUGGCGAACUGAAACAUCUUAUUAGCCAGAGGCAAAACAAAUCAAAUAGAGAUUCUGUAAUUAACGGUGAGUAAACGCAGAUAAGACCUUUAAGCUUUUAAUUAUGAACAAACUGAGUAUAAUUCAGACCGUAGGUUGGUUCAAGUCCCGUUUUUUUGUAAUAAACUAUAAGCUUAAUGAGUAAAAUGAUGCAGGAUUUGUUCAUUUGAAAGAGGGAGUCCAUCUUCCAAGUCUGAAAUAUGAAUACAUAAACCGAUAGUGAACAAAGUACCGUGAGGGAAAAAUGAAAAGAAAUAAAAGUGAAAUAGAAUUUGAAAUUGGUUACUUUAGAAGCAAUUAUUCUUUAAAAGAAUAAUGUACCUUUUGCAUAAUGGGUCAACAAAUUGAAUAAAAUAGCAAUUUGUAUAGAAGUAAUGAAAGUAAUUCCCUAACGGGGAAUGGAGUUGUUUUAUUCAAACUCGAAACCGAGUGAUCUAGUUAUGAACAAAUUGAAGAUAUUUUAAAAACGUAUCGGAGGAUUGCACCCGUGUAUGUAGCAAUAUACUGGGAAGAUUUGUAGCUAGGGGUGAAAGGCUAAUCAAACUCGGAUAUAGCUAGUUUUCUACGAAAUCUAUUGAGGUAGUUUGGUAAUAAAAGAUUGAAGUGGGUAUAGCACUUACCAAUUGAGGGGGGUUAAUAGCCUUACCAAUGUUGGUUAAACUAAAAAUAAUUUCAAAUUGUUAAUUACCAAGCAGAAUAUAGGCGCAAAGGUCUAUUUUUUCAAAAGGGAAACAGCCCAGACCUUCGGCUAAAGUCCAUAAAAAAAUUUGAGUGUAAAAAAAGAAUUUUGGAUGAUUAGAAUUGGCAAGUUGGCUUAGAAGCAGCCAUCCUUUAAAGAAAGCGUAACAGCUCGUCAAUCCUAGAAUUUAAAUAAUUCUGAAAAUGUAACAGGACUAAGAUUUUUACUUAAGCUAAGGUUGCUUUGAUUAUAAAAUUAAGUAGAGGCAAGGUAGUAGAACGAUCAUUAAAGAGAUGUAUUUCCGAUAGGAAAAGUAUAUGGUGUGAUAAUGUUGACACGAGUAACGUUUAGGUUGGUGAAGAACAACCUCAUCAAAUAUGUAAGGAUUCCGAUGUAAAGUAACUUUCAUCGGGUUAGUCGGUCCCUAAUAGUUCUCUAUUUAUAAAAUAAGACUAGAUGGGUUAUUGGUUAGGCAACUAUGGGUUUGGAUUUAGUGUUCUAUCACUAAGUGCCCGUGUUAAUAAUAAAAUGUUUGACCUUUUGAGAAAAGUGACUUUUUAUUUAUUCAUGUUUACUAAACUAAUUGCUUACGUGGCUAAAUAAAUACUAGAAAAAGCUGUCUCAUAAAAAAAACCGUACUUAAAGCCGACACAGGUAUUUUGAUAGAGUAUAUUAAGAUGAUUAAAAGAACAACGCUGAAGGAACUCGGCAAAUUGACUCCGUAACUUCGGGAAAAGGGGUGCUUGCAUAGAGUUAAUCUAUGUGUGCGUAACAGAAUAGGGGGUAGCGACUGUUUAAUAAAAACACAGGACUCUGCUAAAUUGAAAAAUGAUGUAUAGAGUCUGACAUCUGCCCGGUACCAUUAGAUAAACAAACGAGUUAUUGCUUGUGAGUAAAGGAUUGGUGAACGGCGGCUGUAACCAUAACGGUCCUAAGGUAGCGAAAUUCCCUGUCGGGUAAACAAAGGAACUUGCCCGAUUGGUGCAGUAAUGCAUCACAUGUAAACUGGCUAAUAACGGAAAAACUCUGCUAUGUGUAGAUGAUUCCGUGGGAAACCGAAAGGUACCCGUAACGACUGACUCGAAAGAGGAGAUUUUUCUAAAAAGAAGAAUAAUACGCCAGCUCCCGAUUUUUGAAAACUAUACUAUGAAGUAAAUUUUAUAAAUAAUUCUUUCUUAUUACCGAAAAAAAUGAAAAUAAAUAAUAAACAAUUAAAGAUUGAUCCUUUUUGAGUAAGUGGGUUUGUUGAUGGUGAAGGAUGUUUUUGUGUUAGUUUAAAUUUUCGUGAAAAGUUAACAGUAGGCCUUGAAGUUCGUCCGAGCUUUAGUAUUUCGCAACGAAAAGACAAAGACGGGCUUAAUUUUCAAUGUCUAGACCAAAUUAGACAAUAUUUUGGUUGUGGGAGUCUCAGGUUUGACAAACAUGAUGGUACGUGAAAAUAUGAAACGCGUAACUUUGAUGCGUUAAAGUAUAAUAUAAUACCGCAUUUUGUAAAGUAUCCACUAAGAACGAAGAAACAAAUUGAUUUUACAUUUUUUUGCCAAAUUAUCGAACUGAUGUCGAAAAAGGAGCACCUGAAUUAUAAGGGUUUAUCCGAGAUUAUUGAGCGGGUUUAUGAGCUUAAUCAAGGAAAGCGCAAAGUAAGUAAGGCAGCGUUGUUAAAAUUUAUUUAUAAAAGAAUUUCUAAGGUAUAGUAUCGGGAUGAUGAAAUAGUCUAAACUUCCUUGUGAAAGGAAGAGUAAGUUGAUUUUGAAGUUCCGACCUGCAUGAAUGAUGUAACGACUUCCCCACUGUCUCCAGUGUUGCUUUAGUGAAACUGAAUUUGUUGUGAAGAUGCAAUAUUAAUAGUAAGUAGACGGAAAGACCCUGUACACCUUUACUAUAACACGGGAUUGUACGUUUGUUGUGUUUAUGUAGAAUAACUCUUAUGCUUAUAACUCACGUUACGCAAGUAACUUUGAUGAGGCGUCGAUGAAAUAAGAGUUUUGCGGAACAAAUCUCUGUAUAGUCACAUAAAAAAUCCAGUGUGGUUAGUUUAACUGGGGUGGUUGUCUUCUAAAAUGUAACGAAGAUGUAUAAAGGUAUAUUUUGAAUUUAAUGGUAAAAUUAUGCUUAACUGUGAGAAUUACACUUCGAACAGAGACGAAAGUCGAUCAUAAUGAUCCAAUAGUGCUGUGUGGAAAGGCUAUUGCUCAACGGAUAAAAGGUACGUCAGGGAUAACAGGCUAAUAAAUCUUUAGAGUCCAUAUUUCCAGGUUUGUUUGGCACUUCGAUGUCGACUCAUCACAUCCUGGAGCUGCAGGAGGUUCCAAGGGUUGGGCUGUUCGCCCAUUAAAGUGGUACGUGAGUUGGGUUUAGAACGUUGUGAAACAGUUCGGUUCCUAUCUUUUACUUAUUUUAGAAUAAUAAAACUAUAUCCCUCGUACGAGAGGAUUGGGGUGUGUAUGUCACUGGUACUUCAGUUAUUUUACUAAAUGGUAAGCUGAAAAGCUAAACAUAAAUUUAGAAUCGCUGAAAGCAUAUAAGCGAGAAAAUGUUUUUUAUUUAUUCUAUUUCUCUACUGAUAGAUUAUCAGCCCCUUAUAAGAUCUAAAGCUAGUAAUGGAUGGUCUUUGUAAUUGGGAAAAAUUUGAUUUUUGUAUUUUUAUUUUUU
Molecule: ribosomal RNA, 3547 nt
Filed under: Balamuthia mandrillaris
Lineage: Eukaryota; Discosea; Longamoebia; Balamuthiidae
Description: large subunit ribosomal RNA
Rfam family: Bacterial large subunit ribosomal RNA
Source: RNAcentral